GAUGAACGCUGGCGGCGUGCCUAAUACAUGCAAGUAGAACGCUGAAGGAGGAGCUUGCUCUUCUGGAUGAGUUGCGAACGGGUGAGUAACGCGUAGGUAACCUGCCUGGUAGCGGGGGAUAACUAUUGGAAACGAUAGCUAAUACCGCAUGACAACAGUUAUUGCAUGACAACUGUUUAAAAGGGGCAACUGCUCCACUACCAGAUGGACCUGCGUUGUAUUAGCUAGUUGGUGAGGUAACGGCUCACCAAGGCGACGAUACAUAGCCGACCUGAGAGGGGGAUCGCCCACACUGGAGCGGGGACACGGCCCAGACUCCGACGGGAGGCAGCAGUAGGGAAUCUGCGGCAAAGGGCGGAAUCCUGCCCGAGCAACGCCGCGUGAGGGAAGAAGUUUUUCGGUUCGUAAAGCUCUUUUUUAAGGGAAGAACAGAUGUGGGAGGGGAAAGUUCCACCUGGGCGGGUUUUUUACAAGAAGGGGCCGCCAACCUCCGU
Molecule: ribosomal RNA, 494 nt
Filed under: uncultured bacterium
Lineage: Bacteria
Description: partial 16S ribosomal RNA
Rfam family: Bacterial small subunit ribosomal RNA
Source: RNAcentral